RNAcentral lists this ribosomal RNA (1057 nucleotides) under uncultured bacterium. RNAcentral's name for it is "bacterial SSU rRNA". It matches the Rfam family "Bacterial small subunit ribosomal RNA", at positions 327 to 1396 of the family's 1533-position model. The record is from RNAcentral.
UCAUAUGGAUUCCUACGGGAGGCAGCAGUGGGGAAUUUUUGGCAAUGGGCGAAAGCCUGACCAAGCAACGCCGCGUGGGUGAUGAAGUACCUUGGUACGUAAAACCCUUUCGGCAGGAACGAACCUAAUGACGGUACCUGCGGAAGAAGCCCCGGCUAACUCCGUGCCAGCAGCCGCGGUAAUACGGGGGGGGCAAGCGUUGUUCGGAAUUAUUGGGCGUCAAGGGCGCGUAGGCGGUUGGAUAAGUCAGCUGUGAAAACCACGGGCUUAACUCGUGGCCUGCAGUUGAAACUGUCUGGCUCGAGUGUGGGAGAGGAGAGUGGAAUUCCUGGUGUAGCGGUGAAAUGCGUAGAUAUCAGGAGGAACACCGGUGGCGAAGGCGGCUCUCUGGACCACAACUGACGCUGAGGCGCGAAAGCUAGGGGAGCAAACAGGAUUAGAUACCCUGGUAGUCCUAGCUGUAAACGAUGGAUACUUGGUGUGGGGGGUGUUAAAUCCCCCUGUGCCGGAGCUAACGCAUUAAGUAUCCCGCCUGGGGAGUACGGUCGCAGGGCUGAAACUCAAAGGAAUUGACGGGGGCCCACACAAGCGGUGGAGCAUGUGGUUCAAUUCGACGCAACGCGAAGAACCUUACCUGGGCUUGAACUGGAGUGGAAGCAGGCAGAGAUGUCUGUGUCCUUUACCGGACUGCUCUAGAGGUGCUGCAUGGCUGUCGUCAGCUCGUGUCGUGAGAUGUUGGGUUAAGUCCCGCAACGAGCGCAACCCUUGUCCUUAGUUGCUAACGAGUCAAGUCGAGAACCCUAAGGAAACUGUCGGUGAUAAACCGGAGGAAGGUGGGGAUGACGUCAAGUCCUCAUGGUCUUUAUGUCCAGGGCUACACACGUGCUACAAUGGGCGGUACAAAGGGUCGCAAACCCGCGAGGGGGAGCCAAUCCCAAAAAAGCGCGCUCAGUUCGGAUUGCGGUCUGCAACCCGACCGCAUGAAGCCGGAAUCGCUAGUAAUGGCGCAUCAGCACGGCGCCGUGAAUACGUUCCCGGGCCUUGUACACACCGCCAU